CCUACGGGUGACAGCAGUGAGGAAUAUUGGUCAAUGGACGCAAGUCUGAACCAGCCAUGCCGCGUGCAGGAAGACGGCUCUAUGAGUUUUAAACUACUUUUGUACGAGGGUAAACGCAGAUACGCGUAUCUGUCUUAAAGUAUCGUACGAAUAAGGAUCGGCUAACUCCGUGCCAGCAGCCGCGGUAAUACGGAGGGUGCGAGCGUUAUCCGGAUUUAUUGGGUUUAAGGGGUGCGUAGGCGGACAGUCAAGUCAGCGGUAAAAAUGCGGUGCUCAACGCCGUACAGCCGUUGAAACUGGCAGUCUUGAGUGGGCGAGAAGGAUGCGGAAUGCGUGGUGUAGCGGUGAAAUGCAUAGAUAUCACGCAGAACUCCGAUUGCGAAGGCAACAUACCGGCGCCCGACUGACGAUGAGGCACGAAAGCGUGGGUAUCGAACAGGAUUAGAUACCCCAGUAGUC
This 459-nucleotide ribosomal RNA is filed under the name uncultured bacterium. RNAcentral describes it as "partial 16S ribosomal RNA". It matches the Rfam family "Bacterial small subunit ribosomal RNA", at positions 338 to 795 of the family's 1533-position model. The record is from RNAcentral.